Molecule: transfer RNA, 67 nt
Filed under: Avahi laniger (woolly lemur)
Lineage: Eukaryota; Metazoa; Chordata; Mammalia; Primates; Indriidae
Also listed under: 1 other name
Description: tRNA-Thr
Source: RNAcentral
GCCCUAGUAGUAUAUCCAAUGCCUCGGUCUUGUAAACCGAAAAAGGAGAACAAUUCUCCCUGGGGUA